Molecule: long non-coding RNA, 9151 nt
Organism: Numida meleagris (helmeted guineafowl)
Lineage: Eukaryota; Metazoa; Chordata; Aves; Galliformes; Numididae
Exons: 2
Source: RefSeq, a predicted model, not a curated record
CCUGCUGAGGGGUGGCCGGGGGAGCGGGAGAGGGAGUGGGGCCGCCGCGCCCGUUGAUUUCCGCGGCCGCUGUGCGAGCCGGGGCUGUGCGCCGGGCGGAGUGCGCGAGGCCUGUGGAGGUGUCGGAGGUUAAGAGCUUUAAUUUGCCAUUGAGAGCUCGGACAUCCAGGUGGGUGCUCGUGCACUAAGACUGAACCCAAAGGAGGGCGGUGUUAAGUCCGGAGCAGGACAGGACGCGUUGCCGGCUCAGCCAUAGGAAAGGACAUUUUUCAGCUGUUAGCUCUGUAUUUCUUGUGCCAGUGCAAAUCUGGGGCAUUGAUAGUUAUUUAUUGAAACUUGAACACUUUUGGACGUUGCCUAGACCUUAUUUUUAUAGAUAACGCAUUAGUAGUGAUAGCAGUUCCUUGGCAAGAAGAGCUUUACUCCUUUUCUUUCACUGUGUACAUUCCAGUAGUGUUUGCUCUUUACAUAGUAUAGUAACAAUUAAGUGCUAUACAGAAAAGGGCUCAGAUUUGGGGUGGAUUCGCUAUAAAAUGGCAAUUCUAUUGUAUGCUAUUUGAAUAAAUCGCAGAACUACUACAGAGAUGUAGAUUUAUUUUUCAGUAGAGAUCUAUAUACAUUUCCUCUUGGUCUACUUUGUUCUGAAGAACCUUUCUGCAAUACUCCGGAGACGGAAAGAGUCAGUGCUGGAACGUGGAAUGCGCUUCUGGUUGGGAAGAACUGAGGCAGUUUAUUUAUUUGUCAAGAUUUCACUUGCCGAAGGAAACAGCACAGGGACUUUUUCCUCUGAUUGCUUCAACAUAAUCCUCAAUAAGUUUUGGAAAGCUGUAGAUCCCCUGCUCGGUGCUUCUGCCUGCCUUGCUUCCGUACAGCUGUGUGCUUUGAGCAUCCCCGCGCAGCCCUGGGACUGUCUGUUGGACCAUGGAGGCUGCCAGUAAGAGCAGAGCUCUUGAGCCCAUCCUACUGUGGAGCAGAGGCCACACCUCACCAACACCACACUGCUGGGGCCCGGACAUGGAGCUCAACAAGGGCAUCCUGCGGUAAGGACCAUGGCAUCCCAUGGUGCAGCCAUCUUUCUGGUCUGCUCAGCCUCACCAGCAGCUGCUGAACACCUGCGUUACCUCUCCUGGAGCAUGCACUUUGAAAUUCAAGAAGAGGGCCUGGGAUGGACUAGUGUUUCUUUCACUCUUAGUGCUGUCUGUUCCCAAAGUUCAGCGUGUUGUUUGGUGCGUGGUCACAGCACAGGUGUAAGGUGAUGUGACAGUGCAUAGGAAUUGGGGUGUUGCAAGCCAGGAUGCUCUGAGGGUAUUUCUUUCCUUGAUGCAUAUGCAAAUUAGGUAGAAGCCAUAUCAAUCAUUUUGUAACUGUUUAAUCACGUCAUCAGAACCUGUUCUGGGGUUUUAAGUGCUUGAGUGUAACGGUACCUUUUGCUGGUUUUAGGGUAGCUUUAGGAAUACCAGUGGGCAGAUUCUCAAACAAAAUGAUUCUCAUCUUUACAUGGGUUUGAAGAGUUCCUUACAGGCAUUCUGAGCUGGGUAGAUACAGUCAGUAGCAGCACCUGCUGAAUGAUAACCAAGCAAAAGGCAGUUUUCCCUAUGUGGCGGGCAUCACCCAUCUGCAAAGUUGCUGCAAGACUGAGAAGUUGAUAGAGGCUGUUUUUUCCCCACCCUUCUGUGCUUUCCCCAGUGGAAGAGGUCAUGCCCUGGGGAAAUCCACUGACGUGAGGUGCUCGCCUUCAUUGCACGUGUAGCAAGUGUACUUUUUGUUAAAGAACCUUGGAAAAAUACAUAGAAGUUAUGUGUGUGGGCAGCACCGUUUCAGUUCUUAGAUUAGCAGAUGAGCACAGAGCUGGUUGAAGACCUGGUGGCGGGGCAGAGGAAGGCUGUGCAGUGCUCAGUGCCUGCUCCUCACCCUUUGGUACAGCUCCAGCCAGAAUGAAUUGGCAGUGCCCAGGAAGCGACUGCAUCCUCAGACAAAGGCAAUCCCUGUUACCCCUACUGACUGUAACCAGCCAGUCCUUUCUGGUAUGUUGGUUUUAAAGCCAACAAGCACCCUGUGUUAUCCCUUUACCCUUCCAGCUUUCAGCACAAGCAGCCAUGUGUUGGUCUCUCAGAGAACUCAUAGACACACUCCCAUAGCAUCCUGCCCUAUGCUCUGCCUGACGUGGGGUUGGUUUUUCCUGGUGUUGCAAGAGGCUGCUACUCCACAGCAGUAUGCGAAUGGAUGACCUAAGCACUUCGUGGUCUGAAACACAUGGCAAGGCUUAGGCAUGCUGCUUGGGUUGCUUCAGGUGUUUGCAUCUUCCUUUACUGUCUUCUAAAAUGUAUCAGUACUCUGUUUUCUCUGUAGUGUCCCUAUAUCUUUAAUUAUGGUUUCUGUAGUUUAUUCUUAUUGUUAGUCAAUUCAUUGCAGUUUUUCCUCUCUGUAUCAGUUAGCUUUUGUUUUGAUUUUCUGCAUGAAUAUUGGUCACUGUGAGAUGCUCAGAGAGUGAUACCAGAUCCACUUACAUGACUUCGAUCUGUGUAGUUCAUUUUCAGUAACUGCAAGUAUGUAGGGUGCUUAAGUGCCACUGUAAAAAACAAUUCAGUUCAAGUUCUGUGGAGCCUUAGUGCAUUUUUCUCCAUCCUUCAAAGCUAUGCCAUGUUUUGUUGUACUUACGCAUGCUGUUGCCAGUCCCUACAAAGAUUCCCAUAGUGCGCUCAAGUCCUUCUGCUUUGGUUUUGCAUUCCAUAUUCAAACCCAUGGCAAAUGGACAUUGUUUCUUUGCCCUGGGCGUAGUCUCUGCUCCGGAGGUGGUGCAGUCCCUUCCUUUAUCUGUUCUGGCUGCUGGAAGUUUGCUGCUGUGAGUGCAGCUGUCUGCCAGCAGAUUUUGAAGGCGCUUGAGCCUUCAAAAGGCUCUUGAUUUUGAAGGCGCUUGAGUCUUGAUCUAGAUGUGUCUUCCUACCUAGGUGCUACAGCAAAGCAACUUGACUCGUAAAUGACAUUUGUUUCUUUGAAUCAUUAUCUGAUCUUUUCUGUCUUGAGUGGGAGGAGGAGGGUAUCUGUGGUUAAGGAGGUUUUGUUCACCCUUCCUUGGGCACAGAGAGGGGGAAGCCACCACCAGCACCACCCCUCUCUCUGCCACUAGUUCAGAUGAUGCCAUGACAAGAAAUAGAUGCGCUCCCCAGUGCCUCAGGCAGUGGCAUCUCGGUGUCUUUGGCUAUCCAGGUAGUCAGUGUGGCUGGGGAGUGGUUCUUGCAGCUUCCGGCGUGGCUUGGGGCAGCCCACUUGGCUGGCCUUAGGAGUGGAUUCCCAGACACAAAUGCUCUUUCUGCUCUUGAGGACUGUAGAUCUGUAGUAGUUGUGCAUCUCCAUUUAGUGGAAGGGCUGAUUCUGGUGGUUGAUUUCUUGUGAACAGCAGCGGGUAGUCUCGCAAGAGAUUAGUACCUCAGGAGAUUUGGACUCUUUGCUGCAUAUCGUAAAUCACUGUUGAAUAUUGUACACUCUUGAAAAAAACAGAGUGGCCAUCUAAGCCUUUUCACAUUGGUUUGUGUUUAUGUCAUUACUGACAUAAGUCAUGAGCUGCUCUGCUAUUUUAUUUAGUUAUCUCGCUGAAUGUGUCCAUCUCACUUCUGAGAAAGCAGUGGUCUCCCCAAGUUAAGCCCCUGGGCAUUCUGCAGGAUGCACCUGUUAAAAGUGGAAAUGUUAUUUGGCAACUAAUUUCUAAUCAGUUAUUGUAUAGUAUUGUUCAGUGCUGUUUGAAGUGCAGAGGCGUAGUAUAUUUGAAUUGCUUGUUGUGCUGAAAAUAGGGACUUGGCUGCUACAAUGUGAAACUUAACUAUUUGAGUCCAGCAGCUUCUUGGAGAAACUUUCCCUGUAUCCAAAAUUAAUAAGCAAGAAAAAAUUAAUUUGCUUGUAACAUCUCAUCCUGCAAUACAUUUUAUUCAUUCUUCUGGAUUCUGAGCUGAAAAAGCAGGGAGUUACUUUUUUUUUUAUUUUUUUUUUUAUUUUUUUUUUUGUGCAGCGAUAACUGCUGCUGAAUGAUUUUGCCUCUUCCUUACCUGAUUCUCUAACUUUCUAAGUUUAGCAAGGAGGAAAAAAUGGAAUAUGACAUCUUUGUGUACAUAUUAGACUGGCAUAAAACCACUUCAGUUUUCCAAGUAUUUUAUUUGCUGUUUUGCUGUAACCAGGGGAGACCACUGGGACGUUUCUGAGGCAGUUUUGCUACUCUUUGGCCAUUUUAUCUGGUCAGUGUUGUGUGCAGUGACUGUGAGCAUUCCAGCACAGGUGUAUGGUAACACUCAUCACUUUCAUGCUUCUGUGAAUAUUUUGGAAGACCUGCAUCAGCAGAAAAGGCCUUGAACAGAAAGAUUUCACUGUGCAUAACAAUCCUGCAAAUGGUGACUGACUUCUUGGAAUCCACAGUCACUUGCUGUGGUGCUGUAUCAGGAUUCUGCACGCUGCUUGUUGUGAAAAAAGGCAGAACUUCACCUUUCUUAUAAACUAUUUAGUCUUGUCACAAAAAGUGAAACUGUACUGAGAAAGUGUUAAGGGAUUAUAUCUGAAUUUAUAAAGACUUAGGCCAUUAUGGUACAUGAUGGUAGAUGAAAGAUCUUGUUAAUUCUCAGUUACUCCUGUCCUCUGGUGUAAGAGGUCUCUCUCCUCAGACUGCUUAGGAAGCGGCUUGCAGCUAUUUGUGCUGUGAAACUUCUCUCUUCAUAGUGGCUGACAGUGGCUCUGAGGUGGGACAGGGGUGACUUCUGCAUGGAGAGGCCAUGUUUGACAAACUAAGGAUUUGUUCUGUGAAGUGGUGGGAAGAUUAAAUAAUGAUUCCAGGGGUGUGGCCCUAAAUAAUUACCUGCCUGCCAUUUGCUUUUGCGUGUGCCAUCAACAGGUCUGCAUCCAUAGCACAGCUAGUUGUGAGUUCAGUUCUGCUCUGGGUUCUCUACUAGUAACAAACAUGGUCUGCAGUAGAUUAAUAAACCUAUCUGCUGGUUUUUCUGGAUAAAUUAUGAUUUCUGUAGGAAUGCUUUGGAACAACAGUUGACUAUGAAGCCCUGCUAACACAAAAAUAACAGGUGUGCUAGCCCACUGCUGGAUUCUGGCAUCUAGCACGCUUCUGAGAAGACUUACCUCUACUGCUACUUACUGAUUAAAACCUAGUUCAGAGCGGAAUUGUAAGCCACCGAAAUAAGGUCCAUAGAGCCUUGCUGUAUCCACAACAAACCCUCCAUCCCAUCACAGAAAAUAUCUUGGAUUGCAGUCUUUAUUUAUUGUUUAUUUUUUCAAUUGAUCAAUUGGAAAAUCUUUCUGCAAAGUACCUUAAAGCAUCUUUUUCACCUGCAGAAGGGUAUGCUGCCCGACUUCCACUGGCAAAUAGGUGGAGAAUACUGAAACUAUUAAAACUCAGGCUUUUCACUGUGCCCUUAUUCUUACGCUGUGGACAGUCAAAAAAUCCUAACCAGGAACUUGAAAAUUGCAGAACUGUUUGAUACCGUUUUCCUGUCCUCUCCAGAAAACUUCUCACCACCAGGAAUGCAUGGCCCUCCUGUCUAACAAAAAGGCUGACUUUUAAGAACGGAUAGCCCUUGAAAAAAGCUUAUGAAGAUAAGUCUUAUGGCUCGCACUGGGCCUUUUGAGAGAUUGCAUGUUGAGCUUCAGAGCUUUUUUUUUCCCUCUUCUGUAUCAUAAACCUUCAGACUUUCUUGUGACACUGGACACAAGCAGCGUGGUGGUAUAAAGUUAACAGACAGCUCAGGAGAGCCUGUUUAGGAUAUCCUUCCUUUCUUCCCUGGAAACUUUGAAUGACACUAACAGAACAUUUGCCUCUCCUGAUGAACAGAAUCAGGAACAGAACUCUUGAUUUUUUUUCCAUUACUAGCUCGUUACCAGUUCAAACCAUUUUUUGCCUGUUACUAAAACGGUAUGGCAAGUCCUUGUGUUGUUUGAAAGUCCUGUGCAUGCUGUAACUGAAAUCACAGCACAGGCUGGUAUAUCUGUGGUCUGUUUGUGCUAUACAGUAUGAUAUCAUGCUCCCAGCAGGCCAACAGCAUGCAUUGUCCUUUUUUUUUUAUUCCUUUCUCCCUGGGAAUAGUUAGAUACUGAUAGGUGGAGAAACCAGCAACAGUAAAAAAAAUAAAAAAGCAAGGAGUCCAAGGAUGGAAUAUAGUCAUCUACAAGAGAUUAUUUCAUGGUAAUAUUUAUUGUGCAGUAAAAUAGGGAGAAUUAGAAUUGCUCUCCAGAAUGCAUUUAUCUUGUUUUUGUAUUACUGCUUAAAUGUCUUCUAAACUUGUCCUCUUUGGAAGCUGUGUCCCUCUCUGUUUUGCCUGAUGAGCAGUAAUUUCACACUUACCCUUAUUUAUUUAAAGCCAUGGUAACCACCAUACUGAAAUGUCAUCAGCUACAGUCCAGGUCUGAACGCUGGCUGAUGAUGCAAAGGUCUGCUCUCUAAUAAAAAGAGGCUCAUGAAGGACAAGUUCCAAAAGGCAGUUACGCCCUGGCUUCAAGCAUUUGCUCUAAUUUCAAGGCUUUCCCAUGUGGUGUUGCUCAAUAUGUAGCAAAACAAGUUCUUGCAAGUCCCCUGAGCGUUCCUCUCUGUGUAACAGAUUAGAUAUUCACGCUUCAUUAAUUUUUUUCUCCUUUCCUCUGUCUGUCCAGCCCCCAAAAUAAAACCAGAACAAAAGACCUAUUACAAGCAAAUAGUGGAGAAUUGCUUCUCUUGUUGCAAUGUACUGUUUAUUGAUGAUGGAGACACUUAGGGCAGUUGUGUCACCACAUUCAGUGUAAACAUUUAUUUACAGGAGUGAUUUUGCUUUGGUUGCAGUAGGGGUCAAAGAGGAGGGAAUAAGUGUUGCAAUACAGUAUUGUGCAAUUCCUGGCUUUCAAACUGAAAAUGAUGAGCAAGCCUGCAUAGGCCUCUCACCCACCUAAAUCUGGCCGAUGAUUCUUACCACACCCACUCUUCUUAAUUAGGAAUGGGUCUACGGGCUUUUUAAGGUCAAAAGGAGAGAAGAGUAGAGACCUUAAGGGAUGUUCUACUGUGAAAGCAAAGAGUGGGCCUGCACUCUGUGAAAACAAGUUUGUCUGUUAGAUUACCUCUAGUUUAUGCUGUCUGAAGGUAAACCUUAGGAUCCCUGAGCAGGUUCCCACCAGCAAACACAGCUGGCUCUCUGUUUCGGAACAAGUCGUGUUGGUAAAGUGGCAUUUCAGCUUCCUUAUUUCUUAGAUUGUGGAGCUGAAGGGCAUUCUUCCAGGACAGUUUCUUUUUUUUUUUGGAGCUGCUCAUCUGAGGCUUGCUUCUUCCUUCUGCAAUUUCUGCCUAGGAUGAAGAUCCUCCUGAGGUUUAGGGGCCCACAUAUGUGCCCUCACAGUAUGGUGUUCGUGAUGGCUCAUGCCGUGUCACUCGGGUAUCCAUGAGAAGGGAGAAGCUCUGGAUGGGUGCAGGCUAGGCAAGCAGAAAUCCAUCAUUCUUUGAGCAGUAUGUCUUUCAGACCACUUGGCUACAUCAGUUGAGUAGAGAUCUUCCAUCAGCUAAGAAUGACAGUUGGGCCCAGCUUUGGGAGCACUCCGUGUUUUCUGUUGUUUCUUGCUCAAUGACCAUGUAGAAAAUACUUACUCGCAGCAACAUGAGCCUUGCAAUAUGGUGUCUUAGGGUAGCUGCUGGGGCUGCUCACGUCCUGUGGUCCUCUCUUGCAUGAUCAACAUACCCAGGGGACCUCUAGAAAAGGAGAAGCAGCCCCUCCCUACUGGUUAGCCACCAGCAUCCCCGAGCUCUGUUUCUGUCCAAAAGGAGAAGUAUGAGCGAAAUGUCACUUCCUACAACUCUGAUGUUCAAACUGGUUCUUCCUAGGCCUUUGGGCAUGGCACUGAAACGUACUUGUUCAGGAUAGCUGUUCAAAACAAAAGGUGGAGACAGAGCAGCUCAGAUUUGCCUCUGCUCUUGCAGUAGCUUAUGUGCAGAUAGUUAGUGGGUGGUUGUCUGCCUACAUGCUUUUCUGGAUUCUUAGAAGUUGGGUUUAUGUGCACCUUUGUAUUCUGCCUUAUUAAAUUAGCUGGCACAGAGGAAUCCUCUGAAAUACCCUUCCAAAAUGAAGAAUUUUUUAAAACUACAGUAUUUGAGUAGGUGAAAAAAAAAAUCAAAAACCUCACAAAACCCUACUUUGAAUGGAUUCAGAAAUACUUCUGCUUUUUCUUUUAAGUCUGAUUAUUUGGGGGAACUGUUCAAAUAGGUGUGCUGGCAAGCAUAUUGCACACAGACUGAGGUAAUCAUAGCAAAACAAAAUUCAGUAGCUACUGAUUGGCUGGAUUUGGUCAGGAGAGGUUUAUCAAGGAUGCCUCUGACAGCUUUUUUUCUGAUGUGAUUAUUUUUUUACAUAAAUAGAAGCUAUAGGGCUUAAUAAUAUACAACUGAGGAUUAUGUCCAUUGUAUUUUUUUAUGUUACUUUAACGAACUAGGUAGUACUAUAAUCAAAAUGCUUAUUUCUGAAACAAAGUGGACAAUAUUGUUUGGCAACUUGCACUUGAUUAAAUGUAAAACAUUUUCUUAAUUUAGUGAUGUGUUUAGGAGAAUACUGUAACUUACUGAAUAUACAACGGUGAUAACUGUGUUUACAAUAACUUUACAAUUCCUACUGUUCAGCAGUAGCCAACUUGUUUAAGAAUUAAAAGUAAGGCAUACUGCAGCUGUCAAUCUUGGAAAAAUUAAUGCAAUCCUGCUACCACUAGAUACUGUGGGAUGGAUACCGUGGGUUUAAACGGCAGCGGAAUUGUAUUCCAAGUCUCUGUCUUAAGUGCUUAUGACUAAAAGGCGACUUGCCUUGUGCUCAUUUAUGUAUUCCUGUGUGUAGUACAUCAGUUAGAAAUCUGUUAAUGGCUGGUUUGUAACACUAGGACCUUUAUGGGGAUCACAGUGGGAUUUUUGUUUGUUUGUUUUUGUUUGUUUAUGAUCAGAGAUUUAGACAUUUUGGAAUGUAUAACAUUUAUCCUUGUGCUGGAACUGUUUACAUGCAAAAAGGUAUUUAUGAUUUUUUGCAAAAUGCAAUGUGCAAUUUUGUACACGUGUUUUAAACUAAAGAGUUUAUAAGGAAGAUAUUGUAUGUACAGUACUUGGACAUGAGUAUUAUUUCUUUGAUAUAAAUAUCUAGAGGAAAAUUAAAGUUGCUUUAUAUUCAUA